GACGAACGCUGGCGGCGUGCUUAACACAUGCAAGUCGAGCGGUAAGGCCCUUUCGGGGGUACGACGAGCGGCGAACGGGUGAGUAACACGUGGGUGACCUGCCCUCAGCUCUGGGAUAAGCCUGGGAAACCGGGUCUAAUACUGGAUAUGACUCCAUGACGCAUGUUGUGGGGUGGAAAGCCUUGUGCGGCUGAGGAUGGGCCCGCGGCCUAUCAGCUUGUUGGUGGGGUGAUGGCCUACCAAGGCGACGACGGGUAGCCGGCCUGAGAGGGCGACCGGCCACACUGGGACUGAGACACGGCCCAGACUCCUACGGGAGGCAGCAGUGGGGAAUCUUGCGCAAUGAGCGAAAGCCUGACGCAGCGACGCCGCGUGAGGGAUGACGGCCUGG
RNAcentral lists this ribosomal RNA (391 nucleotides) under uncultured bacterium. Its description in RNAcentral is "bacterial SSU rRNA". It matches the Rfam family "Bacterial small subunit ribosomal RNA", at positions 28 to 419 of the family's 1533-position model. The record is from RNAcentral.